AACGUAUCUCGGCGAGGUCCGAACCGCCCUGCUCCGGUCGAGAGGCCGUGUAGCGGGCGAUCGGCCCCGUCAACCUUCACAAACCCCACCGUGCACUUUCACGGCGGAGGGCGGCUUUUGGCGAGAGCCUGGCCGUCUGAAGCCGUUCCACAAACCCCAGCAUUUAAACGAAUGAGGUGCGUCCACCCGAGUCGCCUAAAAACAAAACAACUUUCAACAACGGAUCUCUUGGCUCUCGCAUCGAUGAAGAACGCAGCGAAAUGCGAUAAGUAAUGUGAAUUGCAGAAUUCAGUGAAUCAUCGAAUCUUUGAACGCACCUUGCGCUCCUUGGUAUUCCGAGGAGCAUGCCUGUUUGAGUGUCUUGAAGUCAUCAACCCGAGCCGUUUUACUGCGGCCCAUGGUUGGAUGUGGGGCGUGCUGCCGCGAGGCUGCUCCCCUCAAAUGUGUCGGUUGGGCCUGUGGGUCGAACUCGAAAGGGCGUUGUACCAUCCUCGCUCCCUCGAGAUGCCUCCCCUCCCGUGCCCCUCCACGACCUGCCUCUGAA
RNAcentral lists this unclassified non-coding RNA (544 nucleotides) under uncultured fungus. RNAcentral describes it as "sequence contains 18S rRNA gene, ITS1, 5.8S rRNA gene, ITS2, 28S rRNA gene". The stretch from base 209 to 362 matches the Rfam family "5.8S ribosomal RNA". Lineage: Eukaryota; Fungi. The record is from RNAcentral.